Molecule: non-coding RNA, 85 nt
Filed under: Clostridium butyricum
Lineage: Bacteria; Bacillati; Bacillota; Clostridia; Eubacteriales; Clostridiaceae
Description: Cyclic di-GMP-I riboswitch
Rfam family: c-di-GMP-I riboswitch aptamer
About the family: GEMM was predicted in a large-scale screen for bacterial structured RNA regulatory elements. Genes associated with GEMM are involved in a diverse array of functions, including chemotaxis regulation, signal transduction, secretion and chitin.
Source: RNAcentral
UUGAAUAGGCAAAAUUAAUGAAAGUUAAUGACGCAAAGCUAUAGGGACUAAGGGUUUUUUGUGAAUUUAUGUCAGCCAGUUGCCG